This 92-nucleotide transfer RNA is filed under the name Candidatus Omnitrophota bacterium. Its description in RNAcentral is "tRNA-Ser". It matches the Rfam family "tRNA". Rfam says of the family: Transfer RNA (tRNA) molecules are approximately 80 nucleotides in length. Lineage: Bacteria; Pseudomonadati; Candidatus Omnitrophota. The record is from RNAcentral.
GGAGAGGUGGCUGAGCGGCCGAAAGCAACUCACUGCUAAUGAGUUGUCCUGGGAAACUGGGACCCUGGGUUCGAAUCCCAGCCUCUCCGCCA